CAGAAAGCUGAAGCAACUAACCUUGUUAUCCCACAAAGUAUCUGAAGGGGUCCAAAGCGGUCCUGACGUGCAAAUCGGUCAUCCGACCCGGGUAUAGGGGCGAAAGACUAAUCGAACCAUCUAGUAGCUG
Molecule: non-coding RNA, 130 nt
Filed under: Mus musculus (house mouse)
Lineage: Eukaryota; Metazoa; Chordata; Mammalia; Rodentia; Muridae
Description: Eukaryotic large subunit ribosomal RNA
Rfam family: Eukaryotic large subunit ribosomal RNA
Source: Rfam by way of RNAcentral